This 777-nucleotide ribosomal RNA is filed under the name uncultured Neocallimastigales. RNAcentral describes it as "partial large subunit ribosomal RNA". It matches the Rfam family "Eukaryotic large subunit ribosomal RNA", at positions 24 to 635 of the family's 3401-position model. Lineage: Eukaryota; Fungi; Neocallimastigomycota; Neocallimastigomycetes; Neocallimastigales. The record is from RNAcentral.
UAUGUGAUCGUCUCUCGCAUAUCAAUAAGCGGAGGAAAAGAAACUAACAAGGAUUCCCCUAGUAACGGCGAGUGAAGCGGGAAGAGCUCAAAUUUGAAAUCUUAAAGGGUUUCCCUUUACGAAUUGUAGUUUAAAGAAGUGUUUUCUGUUGAGGUUUUGGUAAAAGUUCUUUGGAAUAGGACAUCAUAGAGGGUGGGAAUCCCGUAUUUGACCUUUACUUUCAACUUUGUGAUACACUUUCAAAGAGUCGGAUUGUUUGGGAAUGCAGUCCAAAAUGGGUGGUAAAUUUCAUCUAAAGCUAAAUAUUGGCGAGAGACCGAUAGCGAACAAAGUACCGUGAGGGAAAGGAUGAAAAGAACUUUGAAAAGAGAGUUAAACAGUACGUGAAAUUGUCAAAAGGGAAGCGUUUGACACCAGUGUUGUUUUUCUGAGAAUCAAUUAAAGAACUGUUUAUGCUAAGCUUGUUUAGACUUUAUCAGCUAUCUGUUUAGUUUUAGGCUUUUCUUUAAUGCACUUUUCAGUUAACAAGUCAACAUCAAUUUCUUUUGCUGUAAAAAAGCUUGAGGAAGGUGGCUUGAGAUUCGUCUUAAGUGUUUAUAGCCUCUUGCCUAUGCAGUCGGAGAGAUUGAGGUCUGCAGCGUAGAUCCUUCGGGGCUAAAUGCAUUUGUGCUAAGUUAUAGCAUUUUAUAGACAACUUGUUGACUAUGAUUUGUCUUGUAGCUUACUCGCUUAUGUUAUUUUACCUACGCUUAGGAUGUUGAUCUACAGAGCGAGAGU